ACGGGAGGCAGCAGUGGGGAAUCUUCCGCAAUGGACGAAAGUCUGACGGAGCAACGCCGCGUGAGUGAAGACGGCCUUCGGGUUGUAAAGCUCUUUGAUCCGGGACGAAUGGUUCCUGUGAUAAUACCACAGGGAAGUGACGGUACCGGAAGAACAAGCCACGGCUAACUACGUGCCAGCAGCCGCGGUAAUACGUAGGUGGCAAGCGUUGUCCGGAAUUAUUGGGCGUAAAGCGCGCGCAGGCGGCCCUUUAAGUCCAUCUUAAAAGCGUGGGGCUUAACCCCAUGAUGGGAUGGAAACUGGAGGGCUGGAGUAUCGGAGAGGAAAGCGGAAUUCCUAGUGUAGCGGUGAAAUGCGUAGAGAUUAGGAAGAACACCGGUGGCGAAGGCGGCUUUCUGGACGACAACUGACGCUGAGGCGCGAAAGCGUGGGGAGCAAACAGGAUUAGAUACCCUGGUA
RNAcentral lists this ribosomal RNA (459 nucleotides) under uncultured bacterium. RNAcentral's name for it is "bacterial SSU rRNA". It matches the Rfam family "Bacterial small subunit ribosomal RNA", at positions 341 to 792 of the family's 1533-position model. The record is from RNAcentral.